Molecule: unclassified non-coding RNA, 910 nt
Filed under: Hevea brasiliensis (rubber tree)
Lineage: Eukaryota; Viridiplantae; Streptophyta; Magnoliopsida; Malpighiales; Euphorbiaceae
Source: RNAcentral
UCAUGUUCUGCAACAGGCAUUAGCUUUACCGUUUUCCUUCUUAUUUGUCGCAGCUGAAACUGAGAAUUUCGGAAAUUGGAAGGGAAAAAUGGCUUGUUUACAUGAUCAUAGCUGUGAAGAUCACGAUUGCUCCUCUAAUUGGUCUCUCUACAAGCACAUAGACCUCUCUAAGGUAUCGGCUCUGAACGAAGCGGUUCGGGGAAGUGUUAAGUCAGUUUUUAAAGCUUGGGAACAGCGCCUGGACUCUUCCGGGGAACACUUGGAAAGCAACGAGGGUGAUCCUGAAUUGCUUGUUUAUAUCCCAUUUACAUCGGAUGUUAAGAUAAAAAGCAUUUCAAUUAUUGGUGAUGCUGAUGGAACAAGCCCUUCAAAGAUGAGAGUGUUCACCAAUCGAGAUGGCAUUGAUUUCUCAGACGCUCAUGGUAUGCAAGCUGUCCAGGAGUGGGAUCUGGUUGAAAAUUUGCAAGGAGUGCUAGAGUACCAGACAAGAUAUGCCAAAUUUCAAAGUGUGUCAAGCAUCACAUUGCAUUUCCCUGAUAAUUUUGGCGGUGAUACAAGUCGCAUACACUAUAUUGGCUUUAAAGGUGAAGCCACCCAGUUGAAGAGGGAUGUUGUUGCAACAAUUGUUUAUGAACUUAGGCCCAAUCCCUCAGACCACAAGACACGCGCAGAACAGGAUAGACCUUUUCAAAUGUGGAAUGGAGAAUAAAUGCUGGGUGAUGUUUCUUAAUAAAAAGGAAUAAAUCAAACUUUGUGUACAUUUGAUAAUGUUCGAAAGCCGUUGUGGCAUGGCAUCUUUUACUCCCAUCUCUCCUUAUCCCCUUUUCUGAUAAUUGCGUGCAAUGUGCAGGAAGGAAAAGAUAUUGAUAUACUUGUGGCUCGGAUCUUUUACUUUAGUUAUUGACUAAUG